UCCGGCCUGCUUUGUUCGUGAUAGCACAGUAAAUAAACCUACGAACCGAUAUUGGAGCCUGUACCUCGGCAUGGGAUGCAGACCUCCCCGUAUGUUCCUGCUUACGUCACGAUCAUACGGGACGUUGGGAGCGCAAAGUGAAGAGAAGGGCACCGCCUUGCUUAUAGCAGGGUUAUAUUUCUCUGCUACACGGCACGGUGGGUUGGAU
Molecule: non-coding RNA, 208 nt
Filed under: Clostridia bacterium
Lineage: Bacteria; Bacillati; Bacillota; Clostridia
Description: 6S RNA
Rfam family: 6S / SsrS RNA
About the family: E. coli 6S RNA was the first non coding RNA to be sequenced, but its function was unknown until recently. It consists of 184 nucleotides that fold into an extended hairpin structure with a large single-stranded internal bulge.
Source: RNAcentral